GGGGCCGACAGGUUUUGACAGCGAGGAGGAUGAAUUUGUAAGCAUGCCGUGAGUUGGGAAAGUAUCACGUAAAUAACAAUUCUCAAAUUCUAAAUGGCGACUAUAACUUCGCUAUGGCUGCUUAAUUGACUAAGUCAAUAUAAGUGCCUGCUUCCCGGAAAGCUUUUUCUUUUCAGCGUUCCGGAUCAAGCAUCGCAAAUGAAAAGAUAGUUGUGAAAAGCUUCGGGUCACAGCGAAACUAAAACCCGUAGGAUAAUAUCCAACGGGUUAAAGAAGCUAAGUUUGAAGUUGGCCGCUGCCUUGCCUGCUUCAUUCCGAAAAUCAAGAGGUAGCUAAGCGUGUAGAAAGCAUUUUUGUCCCUUGUUUGGACGGGAGUUCAAAUCUCCCCGGCUCCACUC
Molecule: transfer-messenger RNA, 398 nt
Filed under: Bacteroidia
Lineage: Bacteria; Pseudomonadati; Bacteroidota
Also listed under: 1 other name
Description: Palsa-948 sp016213405 Standard tmRNA
Rfam family: transfer-messenger RNA
About the family: Bacterial tmRNA, also known as 10Sa RNA or SsrA, is named for its dual tRNA and mRNA-like properties. Its role is to liberate the mRNA from a stalled ribosome.
Source: RNAcentral